This 492-nucleotide ribosomal RNA is filed under the name uncultured bacterium. RNAcentral describes it as "partial 16S ribosomal RNA". It matches the Rfam family "Bacterial small subunit ribosomal RNA", at positions 29 to 507 of the family's 1533-position model. The record is from RNAcentral.
AGUGAACGCUGGCGGUAGGCCUAACACAUGCAAGUCGAACGGCAGCACAGUAAGAGCUUGCUCUUACGGGUGGCGAGUGGCGGACGGGUGAGGAAUACAUCGGAAUCUACUUUUUCGUGGGGGAUAACGUAGGGAAACUUACGCUAAUACCGCAUACGACCUACGGGUGAAAGCAGGGGAUCUUCGGACCUUGCGCGAUUGAAUGCGCCGAUGUCGGAUUAGCUAGUUGGCGGGGUAAAGGCCCACCAAGGCGACGAUCCGUAGCUGGUCUGAGAGGAUGAUCAGCCACACUGGAACUGAGACACGGUCCAGACUCCUACGGGAGGCAGCAGUGGGGAAUAUUGGACAAUGGGCGCAAGCCUGAUCCAGCCAUACCGCGUGGGUGAAGAAGGCCUUCGGGUUGUAAAGCCCCUUUGUUGGGAAAGAAAAGCAGCAGGUUAAUACCCCGCUGCUCUGACGGUACCCAAAGAAUAAGCACCGGCUAACUUCGUG